Molecule: long non-coding RNA, 577 nt
Filed under: Homo sapiens (human)
Lineage: Eukaryota; Metazoa; Chordata; Mammalia; Primates; Hominidae
Description: HSALNT0138154
Source: RNAcentral
CGCUGACAACAGGUUAAACGAUUCCAUCCACCCCACUCUGGCGGCUGCCCCCUCCCCGACCCUCGCAGGUGACCUGCACCCACUUUCGACCUCAGAUAGGGUCUCCCUGCUCGGCGUUCCCAGUUCCUCCAGGCUCGGCGGCUGCGUGGGGGUUAACAAGGUCCAGCCACCGACGCCCCUUGGGCGUUUAGGAAUCUCGAGGCAGGAUCUGAAUUCACCUCGUGGAAACAAAGACCACAAACUCUCCGGGAGCCGGGGGCUGGGCGGAGGACCCCCGCGAAAGGCCGGGCCACGGUGCACCGUCUGCCCCCGUCACGCGCUGUGCAAAGUUCAAGAGGACACAGUGGGUCCUGUCUGGAGUCACAGACUCUGGUGUUUCCCUCUGCUCCGCCCGCAGUGGCCGCUACCCUGGGGCCCAAGACCGGCGCGGGCCAGAGCGCCGGGGCCCAACAGAGAUGACCUGGUGUGUGCAGGGAUCAGGACCCCCCGGGUGGGCCCGUGGUGUUGGGGGGGUUGGCUUGGUGUAAACUGGAAACUCAGAGGAGUGAAUUAAAUAUCCAAAUAAUUGAGAACAACU